UUACGGCCACAUCAUGUUGAAACACCGGUUCCCGUACGAUCACCGAAGUUAAGCAACGUCGAGCCUGGUCAGUAAUUAGAUAGAUGACCGAUAGGGAAUACCAGUUAUUGUAAG
Molecule: ribosomal RNA, 114 nt
Filed under: Acanthosepion pharaonis
Lineage: Eukaryota; Metazoa; Mollusca; Cephalopoda; Sepiida; Sepiidae
Source: RNAcentral